ACCUGGGUGGCUCAGUCAGUUAAGCGUCUGACUUCAGCUCAGGUCAUGAUCUCACAGUUCGUGGGUUCGAGCCCCACAUCGGGCU
This 85-nucleotide transfer RNA is filed under the name Felis catus (domestic cat). It matches the Rfam family "tRNA". From Rfam's summary of the family: Transfer RNA (tRNA) molecules are approximately 80 nucleotides in length. The record is from Rfam by way of RNAcentral. Lineage: Eukaryota; Metazoa; Chordata; Mammalia; Carnivora; Felidae.